AAACCAACUGGGAUUACCUUAGUAACGGCGAGUGAAGCGGUAAAAGCUCAAAUUUGAAAUCUGGUACUUUCAGUGCCCGAGUUGUAAUUUGUAGAAUUUGUCUUUGAUUAGGUCCUUGUCUAUGUUCCUUGGAACAGGACGUCAUAGAGGGUGAGAAUCCCGUUUGGCGAGGAUACCUUUUCUCUGUAAGACUUUUUCGAAGAGUCGAGUUGUUUGGGAAUGCAGCUCAAAGUGGGUGGUAAAUUCCAUCUAAAGCUAAAUAUUGGCGAGAGACCGAUAGCGAACAAGUACAGUGAUGGAAAGAUGAAAAGAACUUUGAAAAGAGAGUGAAAAAGUACGUGAAAUUGUUGAAAGGGAAGGGCAUUUGAUCAGACAUGGUGUUUUUUAAAUGUGCAAGUCUCUCGUGGACAUGUGCCUCUCGAAAUUAACACUGGGCCAACAUCAGUUCUGGCGGCAGGAUAAAUCAUUAAGAAUGUAGCUACCUCGGUAGUGUUAUAGCUUUUUGGAAUACUGCC
RNAcentral lists this ribosomal RNA (515 nucleotides) under uncultured Hanseniaspora. Its description in RNAcentral is "eukaryotic LSU rRNA". It matches the Rfam family "Eukaryotic large subunit ribosomal RNA", at positions 62 to 576 of the family's 3401-position model. The record is from RNAcentral. Lineage: Eukaryota; Fungi; Ascomycota; Saccharomycetes; Saccharomycodales; Saccharomycodaceae.